Oryctolagus cuniculus (rabbit) is the source of this 1668-nucleotide long non-coding RNA. NCBI's taxonomy places the organism in Eukaryota, Metazoa, Chordata, Mammalia, Lagomorpha, Leporidae. The record is from Ensembl.
UGCUUCCAGUCUGUCUGGUCUCUCCCAUGCUGAUGUGAAUGGAUUUUGAUGAGCACUGGGACAACGUCCUAGGUGACCUGCACCAAGAUGGGGAACCAAUGGCCUCCGCUCCCAGAUUCUCAGCCCAGCCUAUGAUGACUUCGGCUACUUCCAUCUCCUCAGUGAGUGGGUCUGGGCUCUGCUCAGGAGCAGGGAGGAGAAAGGAGAACCACUUCUCUUCCUGGCUACCUCGGCGGCCACUGUGUCUGCCCACGGCCUCUCUGGGCCCAGCUGAGGGACUUCCCUCCUCCCUGCGCGUCCAUCGGCUCCGGGGUCAGCAGCAGGUUGUGUUCAGGUUUGUCUUUGCUCCACGUGGGUCCCCGCAGUGCCCCCCCCACCCCGCCCCGGGAAGCAGCAGCACAGCGAGUUCUGUUUUCGGUGGCACCUGUUACAGCCGCGCUUCCCACCAGGACGCCCGCGUGUGCGCGGCUCUCUGCCUCACCCCCCUCCCCCAGGUCAGGCCCAGGGCCUCGGCUCCUGCUGCCAGGAUCUACCGGGUCCUCCCGAGCCCUGGCCGUCCUCCCCUGGGUGCACGGGAGGAGUGCAUCACGAGGUUGUCCACCUUUCUCUCGCACGUCUUGCACCAGAGUUCACUGAUGCCACCUGGUGUGACGGUUCUCGUGGUAGAAGCUGUGCGGUCAGGGCCUACUCACUUGGAGGGGACGGACAUCUCAGCGCACCCUGGCCUGAAUGGGAAGGAAGCGUCUACACCUCAGUGUGGCAGCUGUAGGCACGCUGGCUGCAGGCAAGGCUCGACCAGAUCAGAAUUCUCUCUUCCCUUCCCACCGGGCUCUUAUGUAUUGCGACAUCCACAGAUCUUCUAGAAAUUGUGACACUUGCGUGUUCGCCUCCAGGAGCUCUGCUGGCUCAGAGGUACUUCACCUUUCUGGUAGUGCUAACAAAAUUACCAACAUCUAGUCUCCUUGUCUCCAUGGUCCUGGUCGCACUCACUGAUGCCUUUGCAAUUGUGGCCAGCAGGAUGUGGCAGGCUGGUUGCCUGUGCCUGAGACACGGGCCCUGGGAGCCAAGGCGCUGUUUGAACAAAGUCAAACACAUGUGUAUGAACAAGAAAGACUGUACAUGCACCUGCUACACGUAGGUAGAUCUGAUGUAGGUAAAACUAAAUUUGAUGUAGAGGUGAUUGUAGAUUCAUGUGCUGGUGUGGGGAGGUACCCAGGGGUCACACACUCCCUUCCCCCUCGCUCCCCAACACUGACACCUGGCAAAACCAUGGCCUGAUAUCACAGCCGGAGAACCAACGCUGAGGUCUUGCCAGGAGGAAAAAGUGGCCGCCCUGGCCAAACCGUCCAGCAGAUGGGCCUCCACCGUGCACCACCACGUGCCAGAUGUCUCUGUGUGUGCCUUGGCCUGUUCGCCAGAAGCCAGCACAGAGUGGCUAAGCCCCAGCACAGGGGCCCCAGGCAGCAGGGUGUGAGUGGGUGGGUGGGGGAGGUUCUCAGAGCCUUGCUGGCUAUGCUUUGGCUUUGCAAGGACAGUGUGUGCACGCAGGCUGCCUAACUAAAGAUUAAUUUCCAAGGAUGUUGCCUUUUAAUGUGUUGGUGAAUCAUUGUGUAAUUAACAUUAAUUUUUAAAAUGGAAAUAAAAUGAAAUAGUCUCCAUUUGUCUGCA